AUCCAACUGACGAAUCGCAAAUAGGAUGAAACACGUAUUCUGGAU
RNAcentral lists this non-coding RNA (45 nucleotides) under Schistosoma margrebowiei. Lineage: Eukaryota; Metazoa; Platyhelminthes; Trematoda; Strigeidida; Schistosomatidae. The record is from RNAcentral.